Molecule: ribosomal RNA, 234 nt
Filed under: uncultured bacterium
Lineage: Bacteria
Description: partial 16S ribosomal RNA
Rfam family: Bacterial small subunit ribosomal RNA
Source: RNAcentral
GUAACCUGCCUUAUACAGGGGGAUAACAGUCAGAAAUGGCUGCUAAUACCGCAUAAGCGCACAGAGCUGCAUGGCUCAGUGUGAAAAACUCCGGUGGUAUAAGAUGGACCCGCGUUGGAUUAGCUAGUUGGUGGGGUAACGGCCCACCAAGGCGACGAUCCAUAGCCGGCCUGAGAGGGUGAACGGCCACAUUGGGACUGAGACACGGCCCAGACUCCUACGGGAGGCAGCAUG